GUUAGGAAUAUUGGACAAUGGGCGCAAGCCUGAUCCAGCCAUGCCGCGUGAGUGAUGAAGGCCUUCGGGUUGUAAAGCUCUUUAGCCGAUGAUUAUAAUGACUGUAGUCGGAAAAUAAGCCCCGGCUAACUUCGUGCCAGCAGCCGCGGUAAUACGAAGGGGGCGAGCGUUAUUCGGAAUCACUGGGCGUAAAGCGUGCGUAGGCGGCUUUGCAAGUUGGGAGUGAAAGCCCAGGGCUCAACCCUGGAAUUGCUCUCAAAACUGCAAGGCUCGAAUUCGGGAGAGGAUAGCGGAAUUGUCAGUGUAGCAGUGAAAUGCGUAGAUAUUGACAGGAACACCAGUGGCGAAGGCGACUACCUGGACUGAUACUGACACUGAGGUGCGAAAGCGUGGGGAGCAAACAGGAUUAGAUACCCGGGUAGUCC
Molecule: ribosomal RNA, 425 nt
Filed under: uncultured bacterium
Lineage: Bacteria
Description: bacterial SSU rRNA
Rfam family: Bacterial small subunit ribosomal RNA
Source: RNAcentral